This 73-nucleotide transfer RNA is filed under the name Drechslerella stenobrocha 248. Its description in RNAcentral is "tRNA-Gln (TTG) (tRNA-Gln-TTG-1-1)". It matches the Rfam family "tRNA". From Rfam's summary of the family: Transfer RNA (tRNA) molecules are approximately 80 nucleotides in length. Lineage: Eukaryota; Fungi; Ascomycota; Orbiliomycetes; Orbiliales; Orbiliaceae. The record is from RNAcentral. RNAcentral also lists the same sequence under 1 other name.
GGUUGAAUAGUGUAGUUGGUUAUCACAUCGGAUUUUGAUUCCGGGAACUUGGGUUCGAAUCCCAGUUCGACCU